CGACCGCCUUUCAAAUUUCAGUCGAACUUCUACUGCAAGCAGUCUACUCUGAACUUCUACUGCAAGCGGUCUACACCAAACUUCUACUGCAAGCGAUCUACUCCGGAUCUCUACUUUAAGCGAAUUCCAUCCGAGCUUCUACUAUAAACGAAUUCCUUUCGAACUUCUAUUACAGGCGGACUUCAGUCGAUCUUCUUCAAUAAGUGAUCCCCAUCC
RNAcentral lists this long non-coding RNA (216 nucleotides) under Elaeis guineensis (African oil palm). RNAcentral's name for it is "long non-coding RNA (EGUI_LNC060111)". The record is from RNAcentral. Lineage: Eukaryota; Viridiplantae; Streptophyta; Magnoliopsida; Arecales; Arecaceae.